Molecule: small RNA, 424 nt
Filed under: Pongo abelii (Sumatran orangutan)
Lineage: Eukaryota; Metazoa; Chordata; Mammalia; Primates; Hominidae
Description: processed transcript
Source: RNAcentral
CUAGGGUUAGAGGCAACCCGUGAGGCUAGAACCCCGAACGUGGUCGGUUGGAGCAAAUAUGUCCCUCCGGAGGCACAUUGGGAACCCUGAGUAUCUGAUGAAAAGGAUACCACAGAACCCGAGAUACCAGCAUGUCAAAUCAAGACUGGACACUGGCCGUACUGUUCCUGUAUUUCCCCCAAGCCUUGUUUCUUCUGCCACAAAAACCCUCAGCUCUUUCAUCUCUACCCAUCUAACCCCUAAUUGCAACUGUGAUCCACCCUUCUGAAGUGCCUGUGUGUAUCUUACCAGCUCCCCAGCACUGCCAGACUGUGCCAUGAAUGGAUUAUGCUUCUGAUGAAAUCCCUGGCUGCGUUUUGUUCAGUCACCACCGCAGGGUUCUUGUAUAUUCUCAAGCACCCUCUCUGGGUUUCUGUUUUGCAGC